CACUGGAUCUGCAUGGCCUCCAGCAACCGGCACAUGUGUGAGGAACGCAAGCGUGCCCCGACUGUCAAAAUCGUCAUAGCCAAAGCUGUGCCUCACUCGUGGGCUUUCGCAAUAAGAUUUCGAAGGGUCUGGGCGUAUACAGACAAGAAGCAAGCAGCAAACGAGAGACUGGAAUGGAAGCCGCAAACAAGAAAGUUGCUGCAGCCCAUAUAGGGCUCCAGUGAUGAACAUGGCUGCCCAGGAAAACAUAUCUUUGUGUUGAAGCCGGUCUGUGCAUAUUUUAAUGAAGACUAUGAGGUCUGCACCUCGUUCCACACUCACAAAGCUGGCCAGACAGCUGUGGAGUGAGGGCCCCCAACACCAUGCCUCUGCUAUUGGGUCAUCACUACUACACUUCUCAGGCAUUGUUCUUCCCUUGGACAAUGACAAAACGCUAACUGCAAGGAGCGUGGAGAAAGGAUUGGCGCUUCAGCUCGGAGUGUAUUUCAACUACGAUGUGCAGUGCCCGCCACGAUGUGCAGUGCCUGCCACCAACGUUUCUUAUGUUACAAUCCAUGCAAUGGUAUGCGUUCUCAUGUAUUACACUCAUCGUAUCAUAAAUCGUUAUCACGUAGUCGACAACUACUCCGCUGUAUUCGUCCUUGUAUUGUUCAUUCUUACCGUGGGGUGAGAAUAAGUUUCACGGUCAUGUGUUUCAAAUGUUUCUUUCUUUUUUUUUUGUCUUUCUAUUCCUUGGUUUCACAGAUACCGAAAAACCUGCUGCUGCUCUAGGCAACGUGGUGUUAUUGGCAAACUUGGUUGUGAUACAUUGACUUGUGGACAGCUAGGUUUGCAAAUUUUAUUGUGCCAGUUCCUGGUGGCAGAAGAAAAUUAGUGGCCUUCUCUAAUUCAUGAACAGAUGGCCGACCUGCACAUGAAGCUUUGAAGGCAGUUCAGCACCUGAGAUGCUAUAGCAUGAAAAAUUAUGAUUGUUGAAAAAUGCCCUCCUUUUUAUUUCACAGCUAUUUUGGACACAUCAGCACUGAAAGAGGAACAAAGCACCCCAAUGGUAAUCAAGCUUAAGUAGCAUACCUGUUUGCGUUCUGUCACUCAUCUGCGAACUGGGGUAAAGUUGAAAGGAGCCAUUCCAAGCUGCUGUGCUGGAGAAAGCUACUGCACUGUACAUUUCAGUGAAUAUAUUGCUUUAUGAACACAUAA
Long non-coding RNA from Ornithodoros turicata, 1197 nucleotides. RefSeq lists it as uncharacterized. Lineage: Eukaryota; Metazoa; Arthropoda; Arachnida; Ixodida; Argasidae. The transcript is spliced from 6 exons. The record is from RefSeq and is a predicted model, not a curated record.